RNAcentral lists this long non-coding RNA (284 nucleotides) under Nicotiana tabacum (common tobacco). RNAcentral describes it as "long non-coding RNA (NTAB_LNC013129)". The record is from RNAcentral. Lineage: Eukaryota; Viridiplantae; Streptophyta; Magnoliopsida; Solanales; Solanaceae.
GAGCUUAUUUUUCAGUGCACAAUACUUUGUUUUCCUGGUCAGAAUAACAAAGUGCACUAAUAUGGAAUACUCCAAAGGUCCCUAUAGACAACACGUAUAUCCGAUCAUAAAGUGCACUAAUUUCGAAUACUCCAAAGAUCCCUAUAGACAACACGUAUAUCCGAUCUUCACAACACUUUAUAUGUGAACCGUAGGAACCGAGUUCCAAAAGCAAGCUUCCAGGAAACAUUCUGGAGCAUCAAGACACAUCAAAUUAUUGUCAAGACACAAACUACUAUAGAAUC